RNAcentral lists this ribosomal RNA (430 nucleotides) under Russula sp. 309-639. RNAcentral describes it as "eukaryotic LSU rRNA". The stretch from base 1 to 105 matches the Rfam family "5.8S ribosomal RNA", at positions 50 to 154 of the family's 154-position model. The record is from RNAcentral. Lineage: Eukaryota; Fungi; Basidiomycota; Agaricomycetes; Russulales; Russulaceae.
GAAAUGCGAUACGUAAUGUGAAUUGCAGAAUUCAGUGAAUCAUCGAAUCUUUGAACGCACCUUGCGCCCCUUGGCAUUCCGAGGGGCACACCCGUUUGAGUGUCGUGAAAUUCUCAAGGCCCUUUUCUUUGACCCUUUUUUUUUYCGGUCGAGAAGAGAGGAUUUUGGACUUGGAGGUUUGAUGCUUGCUUUUGGGUCUCAAAAGUGAGCUCCUCUCAAAUGAAUUAGUGGGGUCUGCUUUGCUGGUCCUURACGUGAUAAGAUGUUUUGACGUUUUGGACUUGGCACGGUCUAUUGGACACCUGCUUCCAACUGUCCAUCUUGUGGACAAAUGAUGGUGCUCUGGUCUCCUCUGUCCAUGUUGGCGGGAGGCUGGACCCACAAAGAAAACCUUGACCUCAAAUCGGGUGAGACUACCCGCUGAACUUAA